This 1039-nucleotide ribosomal RNA is filed under the name Microtrichalus sp. BM0160. RNAcentral's name for it is "SSU rRNA". It matches the Rfam family "Eukaryotic small subunit ribosomal RNA", at positions 1 to 964 of the family's 1831-position model. The record is from RNAcentral. Lineage: Eukaryota; Metazoa; Arthropoda; Insecta; Coleoptera; Lycidae.
GACAACCUGGUUGAUCCUGCCAGUAGUCAUAUGCUUGUCUCAAAGAUUAAGCCAUGCAUGUCUCAGUACAAGCCAAAAUAAGGUGAAACCGCGAAAGGCUCAUUAAAUCAGUUAUGGUUCCUUAGAUCGUACCAACAUUUACUUGGAUAACUGUGGUAAUUCUAGAGCUAAUACAUGCAAACAGAGCUUCGACCGGAGACGGAAGAGGCGCUUUUAUUAGAUCAAAACCAAUCGGCGGCGGGUCCGCUUGCGGGCUCGUCGUCGUUUUCACUGACGAAUCUGAAUAACUUUCUGCUGAUCGCACGGUCUCGCACCGGCGACGCAUCUUUCAAAUGUCUGCCUUAUCAACUGUCGAUGGUAGGUUCUGUGCCUACCAUGGUUGUAACGGGUAACGGGGAAUCAGGGUUCGAUUCCGGAGAGGGAGCCUGAGAAACGGCUACCACAUCCAAGGAAGGCAGCAGGCGCGCAAAUUACCCACUCCCGGCACGGGGAGGUAGUGACGAAAAAUAACGAUACGGGACUCAUCCGAGGCCCCGUAAUCGGAAUGAGAACAAUUUAAAUCCUUUAACGAGGAUCAAUUGGAGGGCAAGUCUGGUGCCAGCAGCCGCGGUAAUUCCAGCUCCAAUAGCGUAUAUUAAAGUUGUUGCGGUUAAAAAGCUCGUAGUCGAAUCUGUGUCCCGCGCCGCCGGUUCGUCGCUCGCGGCGUUUAACUGGCGUGUCCGCGGGACGUCCUGCCGGUGGGCUUAGCCUUUUCAUUAAGGCGGCCCAAUCUUAAUCCCGCCGCGGUGCUCUUCACCGAGUGUCGAGGCGGGCCGGCACGUUUACUUUGAACAAAUUAGAGUGCUUAAAGCAGGCUAAAACUUCGCCUGAAUACUUCGUGCAUGGAAUAAUGGAAUAGGACCUCGGUUCUAUUUUGUUGGUUUUCGGAACCCCGAGGUAAUGAUUAAUAGGAACGGAUGGGGGCAUUCGUAUUGCGACGUUAGAGGUGAAAUUCUUGGAUCGUCGCAAGACGGACAGAAGCGAAAGCAUUUGCCAAAAA